This 425-nucleotide ribosomal RNA is filed under the name uncultured bacterium. Its description in RNAcentral is "bacterial SSU rRNA". It matches the Rfam family "Bacterial small subunit ribosomal RNA", at positions 354 to 796 of the family's 1533-position model. The record is from RNAcentral.
GUGGGGAAUUUUGCGCAAUGGGCGAAAGCCUGACGCAGCAACGCCGCGUGCGGGACGAAGGCCCUCGGGUUGUAAACCGCUUUCAGCAGGGAAGAUCCAAGACGGUACCUGCAGAAGAAGCUCCGGCUAACUACGUGCCAGCAGCCGCGGUAAUACGUAGGGGGCGAGCGUUAUCCGGAUUCAUUGGGCGUAAAGCGCGCGUAGGCGGCCGCCUAAGCGGAACCUCUAAUCCCGGGGCUCAACCUCGGGCCGGGUUCCGGACUGGGCGGCUCGAGUGCGGUAGAGGAGAGCGGAAUUCCCGGUGUAGCGGUGGAAUGCGCAGAUAUCGGGAAGAACACCGAUGGCGAAGGCAGCUCUCUGGGCCGUCACUGACGCUGAGGCGCGAAAGCUGGGGGAGCGAACAGGAUUAGAAACCCUAGUAGUCC